UGGGGAAUUUUGGACAAUGGGCGCAAGCCUGAUCCAGCCAUGCCGCGUGAGUGAAGAAGGCCUUCGGGUUGUAAAGCUCUUUCGGUGAAGACGAAACGGUUAGCGCUAAUAACGCUGACUAAUGACGGUACUCACAGAAGAAGCACCGGCUAACUACGUGCCAGCAGCCGCGGUAAU
This 177-nucleotide ribosomal RNA is filed under the name uncultured Denitratisoma sp. RNAcentral's name for it is "partial 16S ribosomal RNA". It matches the Rfam family "Bacterial small subunit ribosomal RNA", at positions 355 to 524 of the family's 1533-position model. Lineage: Bacteria; Pseudomonadati; Pseudomonadota; Betaproteobacteria; Nitrosomonadales; Sterolibacteriaceae. The record is from RNAcentral.